GGAGGUAUGGCUCAGUAGUAGAGUGCCUGCAUAACAAUAGCAAGUGUGAGGCCCUGGGUUCAAAGCCCCAUACCUCCA
This 78-nucleotide transfer RNA is filed under the name Dipodomys ordii (Ord's kangaroo rat). It matches the Rfam family "tRNA". From Rfam's summary of the family: Transfer RNA (tRNA) molecules are approximately 80 nucleotides in length. Their secondary structure includes four short double-helical elements and three loops (D, anti-codon, and T loops). The record is from Rfam by way of RNAcentral. Lineage: Eukaryota; Metazoa; Chordata; Mammalia; Rodentia; Heteromyidae.